This is an RNA transcript of Bactrocera dorsalis (oriental fruit fly), 1695 nucleotides long. RefSeq lists it as uncharacterized. The record is from RefSeq and is a predicted model, not a curated record. The transcript is spliced from 3 exons. NCBI's taxonomy places the organism in Eukaryota, Metazoa, Arthropoda, Insecta, Diptera, Tephritidae.
CCAAACUUAGCCCCUCCUUACUUAUUGUUAAAUAAAAACAGAUGCUAUAUGUGUGCGAAAACAAUUAGCAAUUAUAAGGGUCACAUGGAAAACUGCAUACAAUAACUUUUAUCGGACUAUAGAUGUUGACAGUGUCUUAAUUAUGUAUCAUAAACGACCAAACAAUCAAAUAGUCAAAGUUAGAAAAGGAGAAACAUCAUUCGGCCCUUAUUUAGUGACAUACAAAGAAGAAAUUUAUAUUAACGCUAAGGCCGCGGCCACGCAGUAAACGACUGAGCGAUGAGCGACGAUUUUGAGCGACGUAUGGCUUUUUACUGAGCGACUGUUGUUGAGCGAUUAGUUGCUAAAAUGCCGUUGUCAAGAGCUGUACAGCGUAUAUUACUGCUUGAAAAUAGAUAUCAUGUUUAUAGAAUCUUGCUACGUAUAAAACAAAGAAAGUAUGGUGUUCAUCCUAUAAACCAAACAAGAUGAAGGUUCGGUGAAUUUAAUCAUUUAUAUCAAAAUCUACGUAAAUUUCCAGAUAGAUUCUUUCAAUAUCUACGCAUGUCUAUACAAUCUUUUGAUAUAUUGCUUGAAAAAGUUCGUCCUAAAUUAACAAAACAAAGGAAAGCAAUUCGUGCAGAGCAGAGGCUCGUUUUGACCUUGAGAGCAACUGGUGGAGACAGAAGUACUGGUUUCAGGCAUAUCAAGAGCCCGAUUUUGCUGGUUGACUCUUUUGCAGAUUUCUCCUGUUUUUAGCUACAGGACAUUCGUUUCGCGAUUUAGCUUUUGCUUUUCGCAUGGGCAGAAGCACAGUCAGUUUAAUUAUUUCAGAAACAUGCGAAAUCAUAUGGAAAGAACUUUUGGCGGAGUAUAUGCCUAUACCAACAACAGACCGCCUUAAAACUGUCAUAAAUGAUUACUAUAGGCGUUGGAAAUUUCCGAACUGUUUUGGCAGUAUUGAUGGUAAACACUGUCAAAUUAAGUGUCCGGCAAAUUCUGGAUCCCAUUAUUUUAAUUAUUUGCACUACUUUUCCGUAGUACUGCAAGGUGUAGCAGAUGCUGACAAAAAAUUUGUAACUAUAGAAAUGGGAGGAAGAGGAAAGCAAAGUGAUGACGGUACUUUUUCUGGAUCAACAUUAUUUCGAUUGCUUGAAGCGGAUACAUUGAAUGUUCCUCUUCCCCAAGCAUUGCCAAACUCAAAUACUAUUUUACCUAAUUUUCUGAUUGGUGAUGAAGCUUAUCCACUGAAAACAUAUUUGUUAAGACCUUUUCCACGUAGGAAUUUAAAUGCGAAAACAGAAAAUUUUAAUUAUCGACUUUCAAUAGCAAGAAAAUGCAUUGAAUGCGCAUUUGGAAUAUUAACCAGUAAAUGGCGUUUUUUGCAAAAAGCCAUUGAAACAACACCAAGAACAGCUAUUAUUUUAAUUAAAUGUGCUUGUGUACUGCACAAUUUUGUGAGGGAGCGCGAUGGCGAUAGUGAUCUUGAUUACUUACAAACAACAACUAUAAACAAUGCUAACGCUCAAACAAAUACCGUUGAUCGAGAACAACAGCAAAACUUCAGCAGAAGCCGCCAAACAGCAUUAAAUAUACGUAAUGAAUUAACAGAAUACUUGUGGGAGUUUGGACAUUAAAUUCCACUUAAAAUUUUAAUUUUAUCAUGUUAAUAUAUUAACAAUCAAUUUUUUUUAUGAAUAAAAAAACACUCACCAG